This 433-nucleotide ribosomal RNA is filed under the name uncultured bacterium. RNAcentral's name for it is "partial 16S ribosomal RNA". It matches the Rfam family "Bacterial small subunit ribosomal RNA", at positions 29 to 507 of the family's 1533-position model. The record is from RNAcentral.
AGCGAACGCUGGCGGCAGGCCUAACACAUGCAAGUCGAACGAACUCUUCGGAGUUAGUGGCGGACGGGUGAGUAACACGUGGGAACGUGCCUUUUGGUUCGGAAUAACUCAGGGAAACUUGUGCUAAUACCGAAUGUGCCCUUCGGGGGAAAGAUUUAUCGCCAUUAGAGCGGCCCGCGUCUGAUUAGCUAGUUGGUGAGGUAACGGCUCACCAAGGCGACGAGCAGUAGCGGGUCUGAGAGGAUGAACAGACACACUGGGACUGAGACACGGCCCAGACCCCUACGGGAGGCCGCAGUGGGGAAUCUUGCGCAAUGGGCGAAAGCCUGACGCCGCCAUGCCGCGUGAAUGAUGAAGGUCUUAGGAUUGUAAAAUUCUUUCACCGGGGACGAUAAUGACGGUACCCGGAGAAGAAGCCCCGGCUAACUUCGUG